CGCCUGUUCACCGUCGUCAUGGUUUUGCAAAAAAGGCCCUACAAUUUCUGAUAAUUGAACCCGCCAUCCCUACGUAAGUGGAUCUGAAAAAACGUUUCAAUGUUGCAAAUUAACCCCUACAUUUUUAGAAUUUUGUCCGCGCUCCUUUCUUCAUCCCAUAACAGUGGCAGAGAAGGUGGAAGGGGGGCAGGUUCGGCUGGGCGGCUGGGCUCCCAUCGGCGAGCUCGACGGCGUGGAAGGUGCCCGCCUCGUCGGCCGGCGUCCGUCUCGGAAUGCCCCCGCCUCCGGCCCUCUCGGCCUCUCCAGGUGGUCGUCAGCGCGAGCGAACGCAUCUCUCCCGCAGCGUCUGUCAGCGCCAGCGACUAGGAACGGGGAAUGGCCCGAGGCGUCGCAACGGAGGCUAUAAGGCGGCCGGCGUGCUCGCUUGGGGCGCUGGACCAAGCACGACAGCACCGGAGGCGCCGUCGUGGGGCUGAUGCCGUUGCUCGCCACCAGCACCAGCUGCAACAUGGCCGCGUUCCUCGGGCGCCACAGCGGCAGCAGAGCCCUCCUCCGACUGUAAGAUGGCCGCGCUGCUGAUCUCGCCAGAGUCGUCGAGGCGAAGCAGGGUUCCGGCGGCGGUCAUUGAAGCAUCCAUGGCAGAGGGCCCGGAUCUGGCCUGCAACGGGCGCCGGCGACCUUCGGGCCUCUGCCUGCAUAGAAUAGAGAACACGGUGAGAGAGAGGGACGGAGGGCAGGGGACGAGAUACAGCGGCGGCGCUCGAUCUGGUGUGGAUCGGCCUGCAGGCAGUCGAUAUGAGGAAGAGAGAGAGAAACGAACGGGGUGAUAGAAUAGAUCAAUAGAACGAGUGUAUGAAUGGAUAACUUCGAAGUGUCGCUUGAACGAGUACACGUUAUGGUUAUACGUGGCGUCCCCUCGACCCGAACGACGUGUGGCUGAGUUCCGUCGGUUAUUAUUUCUUUU
RNAcentral lists this ribosomal RNA (964 nucleotides) under Triticum aestivum (bread wheat). Its description in RNAcentral is "partial small subunit ribosomal RNA". Lineage: Eukaryota; Viridiplantae; Streptophyta; Magnoliopsida; Poales; Poaceae. The record is from RNAcentral.